This is a long non-coding RNA of Danio aesculapii, 399 nucleotides long. RefSeq lists it as uncharacterized. The record is from RefSeq and is a predicted model, not a curated record. The transcript has 4 exons. NCBI's taxonomy places the organism in Eukaryota, Metazoa, Chordata, Actinopteri, Cypriniformes, Danionidae.
CAAAGGUAACGCAGCGCGCGCAACACACCAGCAGCAGCAGCAGUUUUUACUGUAACCGCUCGGAGUUUCCCCGCGAAUUCAAGAGGAACCCGGCGUCUCGAGCAGAAUGAAUGGUUAUCAAUGCACCAGAAACAGCACCAGAGCGAGGGAGGCUGUUAAAAAAUGCAAUGCUGGGAGUCUUUUAAAGCUUGGUUCUUCUGGCGACUUGGCACAGCUCAACUACGGAAGUCAGACCGCUGUGGGCCGAAGACGACCGAUAAAGGUCCAGACAUGAAGGAGACGGCAUGGAGUCUGUGGCAUCUCUCAAUGAGAAGAGCUUUCAGCGUGUCGCGAGCAUUCAUGGACUGUUGAGGAGAUGCAAUGGAGAGCAAAUGUCUUCUGGUGGCAAACUGGUGAAGG